RNAcentral lists this ribosomal RNA (257 nucleotides) under uncultured bacterium. RNAcentral describes it as "partial 16S ribosomal RNA". It matches the Rfam family "Bacterial small subunit ribosomal RNA", at positions 524 to 776 of the family's 1533-position model. The record is from RNAcentral.
UACGGAGGGUGCGAGCGUUGUCCGGAAUCAUUGGGCGUAAAGGGCGCGUAGGUGGCUUCUUAAGCGUGCGGUGAAAGCCUGGGGCUCAACCCCGGGUCGGCCGUGCGAACUGGGGGGCUGGAGCACUGUAGAGGCAGGCGGAAUUCCGGGUGUGAGCGGUGGAAGUGCGUAGAGAGUCCGGCAAAGAACACCGGUGGCGAAGGCGGCCUGCUGGGCAGUGCUGACACUGAGGCGCGACAGCGUGGGGAGCAAACAGG